RNAcentral lists this non-coding RNA (27 nucleotides) under Mus musculus (house mouse). Lineage: Eukaryota; Metazoa; Chordata; Mammalia; Rodentia; Muridae. The record is from RNAcentral.
UGAAGAUGUCUUUGAAAAUAUUAGUGG